AGCUCGUGUCGUGAGAUGUUGGGUUAAGUCCCGCAACGAGCGCAACCCUCGACUUUAGUUACCAUCAUUAAGUUGGGUACUUUAAAGUAACCGCCGGUGAUAAGCCGGAGGAAGGUGGGGAUGACGUCAAGUCCUCAUGGCCCUUACGCGCUGGGCUACACACGUGCUACAAUGGCAAGUACAGUGGGCAGCAAUCCCGCGAGGGUGAGCUAAUCUCCAAAACUUGUCUCAGUUCGGAUUGUUCUCUGCAACUCGAGAGCAUGAAGGCGGAAUCGCUAGUAAUCGCGGAUCAGCAUGCCGCGGUGAAUACGUUCCCAGGCCUU
This 323-nucleotide ribosomal RNA is filed under the name uncultured Sphingomonas sp. Its description in RNAcentral is "bacterial SSU rRNA". It matches the Rfam family "Bacterial small subunit ribosomal RNA", at positions 1057 to 1382 of the family's 1533-position model. The record is from RNAcentral. Lineage: Bacteria; Pseudomonadati; Pseudomonadota; Alphaproteobacteria; Sphingomonadales; Sphingomonadaceae.